UCCAUCACAAUUACUAGAAGAUGAAUUCGUAGAACAACGAGCUUCGAAGAAGAAAAUACUGUGUCCAUGGGACUUCAUGAAAUACUCUGAAUCAGUAGCUGAAGUACAUGUAAAAGCAACAUCAAAACACAACAAACUCUACCGUGAACAUUUCCACCAUGAAAUCACCGGACCACAACAGGAAGAUAUGUUUUCAUCACCGGAAAGCCAUGAACAUCGUUCCAACGCCUCAUAUCUGCACAAAAAC
This 247-nucleotide long non-coding RNA is filed under the name Lathyrus oleraceus (garden pea). RNAcentral's name for it is "Pisum sativum (pea) long non-coding RNA (PSAT_LNC028601)". The record is from RNAcentral. Lineage: Eukaryota; Viridiplantae; Streptophyta; Magnoliopsida; Fabales; Fabaceae.